RNAcentral lists this ribosomal RNA (462 nucleotides) under uncultured bacterium. RNAcentral's name for it is "bacterial SSU rRNA". It matches the Rfam family "Bacterial small subunit ribosomal RNA", at positions 30 to 479 of the family's 1533-position model. The record is from RNAcentral.
AUUGAACGCUGGCGGCAUGCUUUACACAUGCAAGUCGAACGGCAGCACGGAGAAGCUUGCUUCUCUGGUGGCGAGUGGCGAACGGGUGAGUAAUAUAUCGGAACGUGUCCAAUAAUGGGGGAUAACUAGUCGAAAGAUUAGCUAAUACCGCAUACGCCCUGAGGGGGAAAGUGGGGGAUCUUCGGACCUCACGUUAAUGGAGCGGCCGAUAUCUGAUUAGCUAGUUGGUAGGGUAAAAGCCUACCAAGGCGACGAUCAGUAGCUGGUCUGAGAGGAUGAUCAGCCACACUGGGACUGAGACACGGCCCAGACUCCUACGGGAGGCAGCAGUGGGGAAUUUUGGACAAUGGGCGCAAGCCUGAUCCAGCCAUGCCGCGUGAGUGAAGAAGGCCUUCGGGUUGUAAAGCUCUUUCGCAAGGAAAGAAAACUUACAUGUAAAUAAUGUGUGAGGUUGACGGUACC